AUGGACCAGCACAAGGAGCUGGAGGUGGAUGUGGAGGGAGAGCCGACGGAUCAGCGCAAGGAGGAGGAGGUGGCCGGCAAGCCUGAAGAAUCAGCGGGUCAGCGCAAGGAGGAGGAGGAGGAGCGGGAGGAGGGAGACAGUCUCAGAGAGCCAACGGAUCAGAGCAAGGAGGAAGAGAAGGAGGACAAGUCUGAAGAGCUGACGGAACAGCACAAGGCGGAGGCGGUGGCGGUUGCGGUGGUGGUGGCGGAGGUGGACAAGCCUGAAGAGCUCACCGACCAGCGCAAGGAGGAGGCGGGGGCGGUUGCGGUGGACAAGUCUGAAGAGCUCACCGACCAGCGCAAGGAGGAGGCGGGGGCGGUUGCGGUGGACAAGUCUGAAGAGCUCACCGACCAGCGCAAGGAGGAGGCAGGGGAGGAGAAGGACAAGGAGACGGAGAGGAGCUCCGGCGAGGAGUCGCCGUCGCUUUUCAUGCACCCGUGCUCGCUGCUGCUGCGGUACCUCGGCCGUGCCUACGCGUGGUGCAUGGGCCUGGCCGACUGGUUCGGCGGCGGCACAAGGCCGAGCGCCGCUCCUGCCGCAUCUCUUAACUCGUCACGGGAAGAAGCAGGCGAGGCGGCGGACAUCGGUACCAGGGAGAUCUCCAAGACCACCUCUGGCAGAGGGUUCUACAUGCGGGAGGUGAUCAUGCGCGUGAGGGCGGUGAGGAGGCCGCGGCCGCCCGGCAACCCGAGGGAAGGGCGCGGCGGCGGUGGAGGAAGCCACAACUAG
Molecule: ribosomal RNA, 771 nt
Filed under: Triticum aestivum (bread wheat)
Lineage: Eukaryota; Viridiplantae; Streptophyta; Magnoliopsida; Poales; Poaceae
Description: partial small subunit ribosomal RNA
Source: RNAcentral